UGGGUUUUGUGAAGAGUUGAGGAGAAGAGUUUUUGUUUCCAAUACUUUUUUGAAGAGCAAUGGCCACUGGAGAAAAAGGAAAUUAAGUCACCAUUUUUGUUUUUGUUGGAUAUGGAAUAAGCAAUCAGUUUGGGGUUUCUUUUGGUGUGGAUUGGGAUUUUAUGUUUUUUUGGAAUCAACAUUGAUUUUUACCGGUACUAGUAAGUACCUCCUCAUCGGACCAUCCGUAUUGUGGUUGAGUAUCUCCCCAGGAUUGGAAACCGGAGGAUACCUACCUGGCUCUCCCAUCGUCAACCUCUCAAGGAGUUUGGAGAAGCCUCCGUCCCUACUUUUGUAGAAGCGACAGGUUUUUAUUAUAAAACAUACAUUUUCAAUUCUUUUAAAUAACUGCUUGCAAUAUUAAUAUUUUUUCCAAUAAAUUAGAAAUAACCUUAAUAAUCAUAUAAACUCAUUUUUUCUAAAAUCACCAUUUGUAAUAUUCAAUCAUUUUUUUUCAACAAGUUUUAUCGUUCACUGUUCGUACCAUUCAUUUAAAAUAGUCCGGGAAUUAUAAACUAUAUGUUAAGGUGUUGUAUACAAUAUCUACGGUUUUAAUUCCUAUUUAAUAACCUUUAUUUCAGUUAACAGGUAUGGUACUCAGGGUUAUCACUUAGGUCAGAUACGAGAUUGUCAACCAAUACUGUAACCAAUAUCCAUAAUACAUUUUUGUUUAAGUAAAUAACUUGUGAUUCCCAAUAACUGUCUUGAUCUAACUAAUUAAGUUCUUUGUUUUAAUUUUUAUUGCGAUCUCAUUGUCGACAGGAGCGUACUUUUCUAGUACAACAGGUACUGAUUAGCUAGUUUGUAUAAAAUUGUAUAUAGGGGUUAUAGGUUUUUUUUCAUUAAAUUUGUUGGUUGUACAUA
Diabrotica virgifera virgifera (western corn rootworm) is the source of this 903-nucleotide long non-coding RNA. RefSeq lists it as uncharacterized. The record is from RefSeq and is a predicted model, not a curated record. The transcript is spliced from 2 exons. NCBI's taxonomy places the organism in Eukaryota, Metazoa, Arthropoda, Insecta, Coleoptera, Chrysomelidae.